Molecule: ribosomal RNA, 497 nt
Filed under: uncultured bacterium
Lineage: Bacteria
Description: partial 16S ribosomal RNA
Rfam family: Bacterial small subunit ribosomal RNA
Source: RNAcentral
GAUGAACGCUGGCGGCGUGCCUAAUACAUGCAAGUCGAGCGAACAGACGAGGAGCUUGCUCCUCUGACGUUAGCGGCGGACGGGUGAGUAACACGUGGAUAACCUACCUAUAAGACUGGGAUAACUUCGGGAAACCGGAGCUAAUACCGGAUAAUAUAUUGAACCGCAUGGUUCAAUAGUGAAAGACGGUUUUGCUGUCACUUAUAGAUGGAUCCGCGCCGCAUUAGCUAGUUGGUAAGGUAACGGCUUACCAAGGCAACGAUGCGUAGCCGACCUCAGAGGGUGAUCGGCCACACUGGAACUGGGACACGGUCCAGACUCCUACGGGAGGCAGCAGUAGGGAAUCUUACGCAGUGGGCGAAAGCCUGACGGAGCAACGCCGCGUGAGUGAUGAAGGUCUUCGGAUCGUAAAACUCUGUUAUGAGGGAAGAACAACUGUGUAAGUAACUAUGCACGUCUUGACGGUACCUAAUCAGAAAGCCACGGCUAACUACGUG